RNAcentral lists this unclassified non-coding RNA (294 nucleotides) under uncultured fungus. Its description in RNAcentral is "partial contains 5.8S ribosomal RNA, internal transcribed spacer 2, and large subunit ribosomal RNA". The stretch from base 1 to 52 matches the Rfam family "5.8S ribosomal RNA", at positions 103 to 154 of the family's 154-position model. The record is from RNAcentral. Lineage: Eukaryota; Fungi.
AACGCACCUUGCGCUCCUUGGUUUUCCAAGGAGCAUGCCUGUUUGAGUGCCCAGAAAUUCACUCAACUCAAAACUUGUGUUUGGGUUGGAGGGUGGGGGACUUGCCUUGCUCUUUGGCGAGGCUCCUCUCAAAUGCCUUAGCUGGCCUUAUUUUGCCGGUCUGCCCCUUCGGCUUGAUAGUCUUGUCGAUGUCGGGGAGCGACUUUGGUGGGCUGCUUCCAGUCGUCCUUUCAGGGACAGCUUUGCUUUCUGAGCUUGGGCCUCAAAUCAGGUAGGACUACCCGCUGAACUUAA